GUCUACGGGCCAUGCCACCCUGAACAAGCCCAAUUCUAUCUGAUCCUGGAAACUAAGCAGGGUUGGGUCUGCUUAGUACUUAGAUGGGAGACCACCUAGAAGGCCCAGAUGCUGUAGUGU
RNAcentral lists this ribosomal RNA (120 nucleotides) under Pteropus vampyrus (large flying fox). The record is from RNAcentral. Lineage: Eukaryota; Metazoa; Chordata; Mammalia; Chiroptera; Pteropodidae.